This 275-nucleotide long non-coding RNA is filed under the name Pelobates cultripes (western spadefoot toad). Lineage: Eukaryota; Metazoa; Chordata; Amphibia; Anura; Pelobatidae. The record is from RNAcentral.
ACAAGCUGAAACGUCAAGACUGGGCCAAGAAAUAUCUCAAGACUGAUUUUUCUAAGGUUUUAUGGACUGAUGAAAUGAGAGUGAGUCUUGAUGGGCCAGAUGGAUGGGCCCGUGGCUGGAUUGGUAAAGGGCAGAGAGCUCCAGUCCGACUCAGACGCCAGCAAGGUGGAGGUGGAGUACUGGUUUGGGCUGGUAUCAUCAAAGAUGAGCUUGUGGGGCCUUUUCGGGUUGAGGAUGGAGUCAAGCUCAACUCCCAGUCCUACUGCCAGUUCCUG